AGAUACAAGAUCAACUAUGUCAAGAACCCAGUUAAACUAAAUAGCACCUGAUCCCAGUCUUCAGUUGGGGCGACCACGGGAGAAAAUAAAGCUCCCACGCGGACCGGGGCAACCUCCCCAAAACCAAGAGAAACACCUCUAAGUCACAGAAUUUCUGACCAAAAGAUCCGGCCACCCGCCGACCAGCGAACCAAGUUACCCUAGGGAUAACAGCGCAAUCCCCUUUCAGAGUUCAUAUCGACAAGGGGGUUUACGACCUCGAUGUUGGAUCAGGACAUCCUAAUGGUGCAGCCGCUAUUAAG
This 302-nucleotide ribosomal RNA is filed under the name Noturus taylori (Caddo madtom). RNAcentral describes it as "partial 16S ribosomal RNA". The stretch from base 206 to 302 matches the Rfam family "Bacterial large subunit ribosomal RNA", at positions 2473 to 2569 of the family's 2925-position model. The record is from RNAcentral. Lineage: Eukaryota; Metazoa; Chordata; Actinopteri; Siluriformes; Ictaluridae.